AAACUUGACCUGCGUCAGUGCUCCGGGCCUCCCCGGAAAGCGCCUUGUCGUCCAUUGAUCCAGGUCAAUUUGCACCGCCAGGCCGCCGGUAAUCUGCACACAUCCCCAGACGAUGUAGGCAACAGGAGGCCAGCAUCAUGUUCAUCGACGAAGUGGUUCUCGCAGGCAUCCUUACCGUCGGACUGAUGGUUGUUUUCUUCGGCGGGGUUGGAAUUUUCAUCUGGAAGGACAGCCACAAGAAGAGCUGAUCCUUACAGAUUCACAGAGCACGCAAGGCACUUCGGGCGACUUAGGUCGCCCGUU
RNAcentral lists this unclassified non-coding RNA (303 nucleotides) under Pseudomonas nitroreducens. RNAcentral's name for it is "Pseudomonas sRNA P20". The stretch from base 102 to 303 matches the Rfam family "PhrS". Lineage: Bacteria; Pseudomonadati; Pseudomonadota; Gammaproteobacteria; Pseudomonadales; Pseudomonadaceae. The record is from RNAcentral.